GACGAACGCUGGCGGCGUGCUUAACACAUGCAAGUCGAGCGGUAAGGCCCUUUCGGGGUACACGAGCGGCGAACGGGUGAGUAACACGUGGGUGACCUGCCCUCAGCUCUGGGAUAAGCCUGGGAAACCGGGUCUAAUACCGGAUAUGACUCCAUGACGCAUGUUGUGGGGUGGAAAGCCUUGUGCGGCUGAGGGUAGGCCGGCCGGCCGUACU
RNAcentral lists this ribosomal RNA (214 nucleotides) under uncultured bacterium. RNAcentral describes it as "partial 16S ribosomal RNA". It matches the Rfam family "Bacterial small subunit ribosomal RNA", at positions 28 to 244 of the family's 1533-position model. The record is from RNAcentral.